Molecule: RNA transcript, 1312 nt
Organism: Cebus imitator (Panamanian white-faced capuchin)
Lineage: Eukaryota; Metazoa; Chordata; Mammalia; Primates; Cebidae
Gene name: isocitrate dehydrogenase [NAD] subunit gamma, mitochondrial-like
Exons: 1
Source: RefSeq, a predicted model, not a curated record
CUCGCGAGAGUGGUGUCUGCGUGUCCGGACGUGCGGAGGUUGUCACUUUCAUCAUGGCGCCCAAGGUAGCGACGGCCGCCAGUGGCGCUGCGAAGACGGUGCUCAGGCCAGCCCUUCUCUGCCGUCCCUGGGAGGUUCCAGGCGCCCAUGAGGCCCCCUCGAGGAGCAUCUCCUCACAACGGACGAUUCCUUCCUCAGCUAAGUAUGGCGGGCGGCACACGGUGACCACGAUCCCAGGCGAUGGCAUCCGGCCGGAGCUCAUGCUGCACGUGAAGGCCGUUUUCAGGCACGCCUGUGUACCAGUGGACUCUGAAGAGGAGCACGUGAGUUCCAACGCUUAUGAAGAGGACAUUUGCAACGCCAUCAUGGCAAUCCGCCGGAACCGUGUGGCCCUGAAGGGCAACAUCGAAAUCACCCAUGACCUGCCACCAUCCCACAAAUCCCGAAACAGCAUCCUUCGCACCGGCCUGGACCUCUAUGCCAACGUCGUCCAAUGUAAAAGCCUCCCGGGCGUGGUGACCCGGCACAAGGACAUAGACAUCCUCAUUGUCCGGGAGAACACGGAGGGCGAGUACAGCAGCCUGGAGCGUGAGAGCGUGGCGGGAGUGGUGGAGAGCCUGGAGGUCAUCACCAAGGCCAAGUCCCUUCGCGUUGCCAAGUAUGCCUUCAAGCUGGCGCAGGAGAGCGGGCUCAGGAGAGUGACGGCCGUGCACAAGGCCACCAUGAAACUGGGCGACGGGCUCUUCCUCCAGUGCUGCAGGGAGGUGGCAGCUGGCUACCCCCAGAUCACCUUUGAGAAGAUGAUUGUGGACAACACCACCAUGUAGCUGGCAUCGCGGCCCUAGCAGUUUGAUGUCGUGAUGAUGCCCAUUCUCUAUGGCAGUGUUGUUGGCAACGUCUGCGCAGGACUAGUCGGAGGCCCAGGCCUUGUGGCUGGGGCCAACUGUGGCCAGGUGUAUGCGGUGUUUAAAACGGCUACGAGGAACACCGGCAAGAGUGUCGCCAAUAAGAACAUCGCCAACCUGACGGCCACCCUGCUGGCCAGCUGCACUCCCAUACCACCUCCAUCCGUCAGGCUGUCCUGGCGUCCGUGGACAAUGAGAAGAUGCACACCCCAGACAUCGGGGGCCAGGGUACAAGAUCUGAGGCCAUCCAGGACUUUAUCCACCACAUCCGCGUCAUCAAAGGCCGGGCUGUGGAGGCUUCGGCUGGCCCUGGAACCUUGGUUUGCUCCUCAGAUCCCCCGUCUCACUCCAGCACCCCAGCCAGCCUGGUAGGCAGAGCCCAGAAUAAAGCAGCUUCACCUCAAUAA